UGGUGUAGAGACAUUGGAAUGAAGGUACAGAUGGUUGUUAGAGAAUAACUUACACUGAGCGUGACCAACAUGAGAACUUCAUGGAUGUUUACUCACUUGUUAGUGGUCUUCUCGAUGCUGCAGUGAUGUGAGUGGUCCUUUGAUCUAUGAUGUCAUUGGCUAUUCACAGCGAGGCUACUAAGUUUGACUGUACAUUCUCUGAGUCCCUAGUCAUUCGGAUCCUUACUGUGUAUGUUGGCUUUAGUAAGUUCAGAUUCGCUGUUUGGAGUAAGAUGCACCUAAAUGGGAUCUAUCAAUCUUGAUAGAAAAGGAGAAGUCCUAUGUGAUUUGAUAGAUUGAGU
Molecule: long non-coding RNA, 341 nt
Filed under: Elaeis guineensis (African oil palm)
Lineage: Eukaryota; Viridiplantae; Streptophyta; Magnoliopsida; Arecales; Arecaceae
Description: long non-coding RNA (EGUI_LNC044561)
Source: RNAcentral